RNAcentral lists this ribosomal RNA (462 nucleotides) under uncultured bacterium. RNAcentral's name for it is "partial 16S ribosomal RNA". It matches the Rfam family "Bacterial small subunit ribosomal RNA", at positions 28 to 507 of the family's 1533-position model. The record is from RNAcentral.
GACGAACGCUGGCGGCGUGCUUAACACAUGCAAGUCGAACGGUAAGGCCUUUCGGGGUACACGAGUGGCGAACGGGUGAGUAACACGUUGGUGAUCUGCCCUGCACUUCGGGAUAAGCCCGGGAAACUGGGUCUAAUACCGUAUAGGACUGCGCGGUGCAUGCCGUGUGGUGGAAAGAUUUAUCGGUGCAGGAUGGGCCCGCGGCCUAUCAGCUUGUUGGUGGGGUAAUGGCCUACCAAGGCGACGACGGGUAGCCGGCCUGAGAGGGCGACCGGCCACACUGGGACUGCGACACGGCCCAGACUCCUACGGGAGGCAGCAGUGGGGAAUAUUGCACAAUGGGCGCAAGCCUGAUGCAGCGACGCCGCGUGAGGGAUGACGGCCUUCGGGUGGUAAACCUCUUUCAGCAGGGACGAAGCGUGAGUGACGGUACCUGCAGAAGAAGCACCGGCCAACUACGUG